AUUUUCUGGACCUGUCAUGAAGACUACCGUUCCGGGACCAAAAUCACUGGAACUACUCGGUGCAAUGGACAAGAUUCAGGAGACACGAACAGUUCACAUGUUUGUUGACUAUCAGAAGAGUCAAGGCAACUAUGUUGUUGAUGUCGAUGGCAAUCAGUUAUUAGACGUUUGCGGUCAGAUUGCAUCAAACACUUUGGGAUAUAAUUAUCCUGAUGUGGUUGGAGCUCUAAAGGAUCCUGAAAAUUUGCAUCUUCUUGUGAAUCGACCGGCACUCGGACUCGCUCCACCUGCAGAGUUUGUUAGUCUUCUCAAGACAUCUCUACUUUCGGUAUCUCCUCGUGGAUUAAAUCAAGUCAUGACUAUGAUGUGUGGCUCGUGUGCUAAUGAAAACUCAAUCAAAGUUGCUUUCUUUCACUACAAAAGACUUCAGCGAGAACAGGCAGGAAUUGAUGUCACAGACGUAGAGGCCGAAUCGACCAUGAAGAACCAAGUGCCAGGGUCUCCACGGUUAAGCGUUCUGUCAUUUACUGGAGCUUUUCAUGGUAGAACACUGGGAUGUUUGAGUUUGACUCGUUCAAAACCAGUUCACAAACUCGAUGUGCCGGCAUUUGACUGGCCGGUGGCUCCAUUCCCACAACUUCGUUAUCCUCUUGAAGAGAACGAACGUGAAAACCGACAGGAAGAGGAUCGCUGUUUGGAACAAGUUACAGAUAUCAUGAAAGUAUGGUCAGAUAGAAACUGUCCAGUUGUGUGCAUUUGUGUGGAGCCGAUUCAAGCUGAAGGAGGUGAUCGUCAUGCCAGUCCGUAUUUCUUCCAGCAACUCCAGAGGAUUGCAAAACAAUCUGGAGCUCUUUUUAUGGUCGAUGAAGUUCAGACGUUUGGAGUGACUGGGCACAUGUGGGCUCAUGAGGCAUUUGGACUUGAUGAGUCUCCCGACAUUGUCACAUUUGCAAAAAAGCUGCAAGUAACCGGUGCAUACAUGAAGGAUGGGCUUCGUCCUGAUAAGCCGUAUCGUAUCUUCAACACUUGGUUGGGGGAUCCGAGCAAGUUGUUGGUGGCCAGUGCUGUAGUGAAAGUAAUUCAGAGGGACAAUUUACUGCAGAUGACAAGAAAGGCUGGCGAAGUGUUACUUGCCGGACUGAAGGAGCUACAGUAAUGGCACGUGGGACAACUCUCCACACAUUGGUUCAUCAAGAAAGCUUUCUUGUGUUGAAUCAGCAUGCCAAAUGGACUCUUUCAUGUUCUAUGUCAGCCAUAGUCACCUCUCGCAAUCCAUCAGAGCUGCAGUCAAUGUGAGACGUCUCAGCCUCUUCCUUCUUGAGCAUCUCAAGCUGGCUGGGACUGAAUCAAUCUUGGUCUGUGUCAUCUGGUUGAAGUCGACAUUCAACACAUACCGUACAGACCUAAGGCAUCAUCUUGUUUUUUAGGUGCCGCACCCUCCGUCAUCACCACCUGUUGAAGGGGGAGAAGAUUGACAUUUGCGGAUUGCACUCACAUAGCUGCAAAGUAUCCAUUCCUGUCUGCUGCACGAGGAGCUGGAACGUUUUGUGCUGUUGAUUGUGAUUCCACACUGCGGCAGGCUUCACUGUUACAAGCGCUCUUGAACAAAGGAGCGUACACGAUUGGUUGUGGUGAAAAGACG
Corticium candelabrum is the source of this 1642-nucleotide RNA transcript. It is a transcript of the gene named 4-aminobutyrate aminotransferase, mitochondrial-like, with no coding region annotated. NCBI's taxonomy places the organism in Eukaryota, Metazoa, Porifera, Homoscleromorpha, Homosclerophorida, Plakinidae. The transcript has 14 exons. The record is from RefSeq and is a predicted model, not a curated record.